AGCAACGCCGCGUGAGGGACGACGGCCUUCGGGUUGUAAACCUCUUUUAGCAGGAAAGAAGCGAAAGUGACGGUACCUGCAGAAAAAGCGCCGGCUAACUACGUGCCAGCAGCCGCGGUAAUACGUAGGGCGCAAGCGUUAUCCGGAAUUAUUGGGCGUAAAGAGCUCGUAGGCGGUCUGUCGCGUCUGCUGUGAAAACCCGAGGCUCAACCUCGGGCCUGCAGUGGGUACGGGCAGACUAGAGUGCGGUAGGGGAGAUUGGAAUUCCUGGUGUAGCGGUGGAAUGCGCAGAUAUCAGGAGGAACACCGAUGGCGAAGGCAGAUCUCUGGGCCGUAACUGACGCUGAGGAGCGAAAGGGUGGGGAGCAAACAGGCUUAGAUACCCUGGUAGUCCACCCCGUAAACGUUGGGAACUAGUUGUGGGGUCCAUUCCACGGAUUCCGUGACGCAGCUAACGCAUUAAGUUCCCCGCCUGGGGAGUACGGCCGCAAGGCUAAAACUCAAAGGAAUUGACGGGGACCCGCACAAGCGGCGGAGCAUGCGGAUUAAUUCGAUGCAACGCGAAGAACCUUACCAAGGCUUGACAUAUACGAGAACGGGCCAGAAAUGGUCAACUCUUUGGACACUCGUAAACAGGUGGUGCAUGGUUGUCGUCAGCUCGUGUCGUGAGAUGUUGGGUUAAGUCCCGCAACGAGCGCAACCCUCGUUCUAUGUUGCCAGCACGUAAUGGUGGGAACUCAUGGGAUACUGCCGGGGUCAACUCGGAGGAAGGUGGGGAUGACGUCA
RNAcentral lists this ribosomal RNA (786 nucleotides) under Microbacterium schleiferi. RNAcentral describes it as "bacterial SSU rRNA". It matches the Rfam family "Bacterial small subunit ribosomal RNA", at positions 390 to 1187 of the family's 1533-position model. Lineage: Bacteria; Bacillati; Actinomycetota; Actinomycetes; Micrococcales; Microbacteriaceae. The record is from RNAcentral.